This 295-nucleotide ribosomal RNA is filed under the name uncultured bacterium. Its description in RNAcentral is "partial 16S ribosomal RNA". It matches the Rfam family "Bacterial small subunit ribosomal RNA", at positions 335 to 647 of the family's 1533-position model. The record is from RNAcentral.
GUUCCUACGGGAGGCAGCAGUGGGGAAUAUUGCACAAUGGGGGAAACCCUGAUGCAGCGACGCCGCGUGGGUGACGAAGUAUUUCGGUAUGUAAAGCCCUAUCAGCAGGGAAGAAGAUGACAGUACCUGACUAAGAAGCCCCGGCUAACUACGUGCCAGCAGCCGCGGUAAUACGUAGGGGGCAAGCGUUAUCCGGAUUUACUGGGUGUAAAGGGAGCGUAGGUGGCAUGGCAAGCCAGAAGUGAAAGCCCGGGGCCCAACCCCGGGACUGCUCUUGGAACUGCAUGGCUGGAGU